AUUAAACUGAAGAGUUUGAUCAUGGCUCAGAUUGAACGCUGGCGGCAUGCCUAACACAUGCAAGUCGAACGAUGAUUACUAGCUUGCUAGUAUGAUUAGUGGCGGACGGGUGAGUAAUAUAUAGGGAUCUGCCUGUUAGUGGGGGACAACAGCCGGAAACGGCUGCUAAUACCGCAUACGCUCUACGGAGGAAAG
Molecule: ribosomal RNA, 195 nt
Filed under: Methylophaga sp.
Lineage: Bacteria; Pseudomonadati; Pseudomonadota; Gammaproteobacteria; Thiotrichales; Piscirickettsiaceae
Description: partial 16S ribosomal RNA
Rfam family: Bacterial small subunit ribosomal RNA
Source: RNAcentral